RNAcentral lists this ribosomal RNA (301 nucleotides) under uncultured bacterium. RNAcentral describes it as "partial 16S ribosomal RNA". It matches the Rfam family "Bacterial small subunit ribosomal RNA", at positions 509 to 809 of the family's 1533-position model. The record is from RNAcentral.
CAGCAGCCGCGGGAAUACGUAGGUGGCAAGCGUUGUCCGGAAUUAUUGGGCGUAAAGGGCUCGCAGGCGGUUUCUUAAGUCUGAUGUGAAAGCCCCCGGCUCAACCGGGGAGGGUCAUUGGAAACUGGGAAACUUGAGUGCAGAAGGGGAGAGUGGAAUUCCACGUGUAGCGGUGAAAUGCGUAGAGAUGUGGAGGAACACCAGUGGCGAAGGCGACUCUCUGGUCUGUAACUGACGCUGAGGAGCGAAAGCGUGGGGAGCGAACAGGAUUAGAUACCCCCGUAGUCCCUGUCUCUUAUAA